GGCAGGUUGCCAGUUUCUUAUAGCAUCUGACCAUCAGGGAGAAACAGCCCCUGCCCAGGAAAGCCUUUGAAGGAAUGGCUGGGAUAGAUGUUGAGUGGGAGGGACAUUGAGAGUGGCAGGGGUGGAGGGGAUCAUCUUGUCAGUCUCCUUUUGUUGGUAGAUAUCUUCACAUUAAAGUGACUUGCUCACCUACACAACCCACUUGCUGUGAGAAUUGGGCUAUUGAAAAAUACUUGGUAACGAGGACCCCCAGAGCAUAACCCCCAUGGUACAGACAAGGAAACUGAGACUCAGAGAGGUUAGGUGACUUGCCCAUGGUCACACUGUGAGAAAGUGGUAGAACCAGGCUUUGACCCUGAAGCACCCACAGCUCAUCCAUCCCUCCUGCUCCCAAUGUCACAGGUGUCAACCGAUUCUAUGACAAUAUCCAAGAGAUGGUUGGAUCCAGGCCCUGCAUCUGGUGGAAACUCUGCUGGUCUUUCUUCACACCAAUCAUUGUGGCGGGCGUGUUCAUUUUCAGUGCUGUGCAGAUGACGCCACUCACCAUGGGAAACUAUGUUUUCCCCAAGUGGGGCCAGGGUGUGGGCUGGCUGAUGGCUCUGUCUUCCAUGGUCCUCAUCCCCGGGUACAUGGCCUACAUGUUCCUCACCUUAAAGGGCUCCCUGAAGCAGCGCAUCCAAGUCAUGGUCCAGCCCAGCGAAGACAUCGUUCGCCCAGAGAAUGGUCCUGAGCAGCCCCAGGCGGGCAGCUCCACCAGCAAGGAGGCCUACAUCUAGGGUGGGGGCCACUCACCGACCCGACACUCUCACCCCCCGACCUGGCUGAGUGUGACCACCACUUGAUGUCUGAGGAUACCUUCCAUCUCAACCUACCUCGAGUGGCGAGUCCAGACACCAUCACCACGCAGAGAGGGGAGGUGGGAGGACAGUUAGACCCCUGGGUGGGCCCUGCCGUGGGCAAGGAUACCCGGUGGCUUCUGGCACCUGGCGGGCUGGUGACCUUUUUAAUCCAGGCCCCAUCAGCAUCCCACGAUCGGCCUUGGUAACCGCCGCGGUAGAUCAUUUUUAUCCCGCCAGGGAGUGUGAUGC
This 1088-nucleotide small RNA is filed under the name Pan troglodytes (chimpanzee). RNAcentral's name for it is "retained intron". The record is from RNAcentral. Lineage: Eukaryota; Metazoa; Chordata; Mammalia; Primates; Hominidae.